This 22-nucleotide non-coding RNA is filed under the name Arabidopsis thaliana (thale cress). Lineage: Eukaryota; Viridiplantae; Streptophyta; Magnoliopsida; Brassicales; Brassicaceae. The record is from RNAcentral.
GAGGGUGCUAUGCUUAAGGUCU